UAGUCCACGCCGUAAACGAUGAGUGCUAAGUGUUAGAGGGUUUCCGCCCUUUAGUGCUGCAGCAAACGCAUUAAGCACUCCGCCUGGGGAGUACGGUCGCAAGACUGAAACUCAAAGGAAUUGACGGGGGCCCGCACAAGCGGUGGAGCAUGUGGUUUAAUUCGAAGCAACGCGAAGAACCUUACCAGGUCUUGACAUCCUCUGACACUCCUAGAGAUAGGAUUUUCCCCUUUGCGGGGACAGAGUGAC
This 249-nucleotide ribosomal RNA is filed under the name uncultured bacterium. Its description in RNAcentral is "partial 16S ribosomal RNA". It matches the Rfam family "Bacterial small subunit ribosomal RNA", at positions 791 to 1035 of the family's 1533-position model. The record is from RNAcentral.